RNAcentral lists this transfer RNA (64 nucleotides) under Antilochus russus. Its description in RNAcentral is "tRNA-Trp". Lineage: Eukaryota; Metazoa; Arthropoda; Insecta; Hemiptera; Pyrrhocoridae. The record is from RNAcentral.
AAAGCUUUAAGUUAAAUAAACUAUUAACCUUCAAAGUUAAAAAUAUGCCCUAGUAUAAGCUUUA